AGAGCGAACGCUGGCGGCAGGCCUAACACAUGCAAGUCGAACGGAUCCUUCGGGAUUAGUGGCGGACGGGUGAGGAACACGUGGGAACGUGCCUUUUGGUUCGGAACAACUCAGGGAAACUUGAGCUAAUACCGGAUAAGCCCUUCGGGGGAAAGAUUUAUCGCCAUUAGAGCGGCCCGCGUCUGAUUAGCUUGUUGGUGAGGUAAAGGCUCACCAAGGCUACGAUCAGUAGCUGGUCUGAGAGGAUGAUCAGCCACACUGGGACUGAGACACGGCCCAGACUCCUACGGGAGGCAGCAGUGGGGAAUCUUGCGCAAUGGGCGAAAGCCUGAUGCAGCAACGCCGCGUGGGGGAUGAAUGCCUUCGGGUUGUAAACCCCUUUCAGCAGGGACGAAUCUGACGGUACCUGCAGAAGAAGCCCCGGCCAACUACGUGCCAGCAGCCGC
Molecule: ribosomal RNA, 446 nt
Filed under: uncultured bacterium
Lineage: Bacteria
Description: SSU rRNA
Rfam family: Bacterial small subunit ribosomal RNA
Source: RNAcentral